AACGGCCGUACCAUGCUGAAUAUACCGGUUCUCGUUAGAUCACCGAAGUCAAGCAUCAUUGGGCGCGGUCUGUACUUGGGUGGGUGACCACCUGGGAACACCGCGUGCCGUCG
Non-coding RNA from Caerostris darwini, 113 nucleotides. NCBI's taxonomy places the organism in Eukaryota, Metazoa, Arthropoda, Arachnida, Araneae, Araneidae. The record is from the annotation of a GenBank genome assembly.